RNAcentral lists this transfer RNA (76 nucleotides) under Planctomycetes bacterium RIFCSPHIGHO2_12_FULL_52_36. RNAcentral's name for it is "tRNA-Ala". It matches the Rfam family "tRNA". From Rfam's summary of the family: Transfer RNA (tRNA) molecules are approximately 80 nucleotides in length. Their secondary structure includes four short double-helical elements and three loops (D, anti-codon, and T loops). Further hydrogen bonds mediate the characteristic L-shaped molecular structure. tRNAs have two regions of fundamental functional importance: the anti-codon, which is responsible for specific mRNA codon recognition, and the 3' end, to which the tRNAs corresponding amino acid is attached (by aminoacyl-tRNA synthetases). tRNAs cope with the degeneracy of the genetic code in two manners: having more than one tRNA (with a specific anti-codon) for a particular amino acid; and 'wobble' base-pairing, i.e. permitting non-standard base-pairing at the 3rd anti-codon position. The record is from RNAcentral. RNAcentral also lists the same sequence under 6 other names. Lineage: Bacteria; Pseudomonadati; Planctomycetota.
GGGGGAUUAGCUCAGUUGGGAGAGCGCUUGAAUGGCAUUCAAGAGGUCAGGGGUUCAAAUCCCCUAUCCUCCACCA